This is a long non-coding RNA of Homo sapiens (human), 34600 nucleotides long. RefSeq lists it as uncharacterized. Lineage: Eukaryota; Metazoa; Chordata; Mammalia; Primates; Hominidae. The transcript is spliced from 2 exons. The record is from RefSeq and is a predicted model, not a curated record.
AUAAAUCUAUUUCUCAUGAAAUUUAAUCUAUUAGUUUUAGUAUCCAUGAAUGAUUCUUGCUUGAAUCAAUUAUUAUUUUUAUUUAUUUUUUAUUUUUUUGGAGACACAGUCUCGCUCUGUCGCCCAGGCUGGAGUGCAGUGGCACGAUCUCAGCUCACUGCAAGCUCCACCUCCCGGGUUCACACCAUUCUCCUGCCUCAGCCUCCCAAGUAGCUGGGACUACAGGCGCCCGCCACCACGCCCGGCUAAUUUUUUUGUAUUUUUAGUAGAGAUGGGGUUUCACCAUGUUAGCCAGGAUGGUCUUGAUCUCCUGCCCUUGUGAUCCGCCCACCUCUGCCUCCCAAAGUGCUGGGAUUACAGGCGUGAGCCACUGUGCCUGGCUGCUUGAAUCAAUUAUUAUUAUUAUUUUUUGAGACAGAGUCUCACUCUAUCACCCAGGCUGGAAUGCAGUGGUGCAGCCUCCACUCACUGCAACCCCUGCCUCCUGGGUUCAGGCGAUUCUCCUGCCACAGCCUCCCGAGUAGCUGGGAUUACAGGUGUGCACCACCAUACCCAGCUAAUUUUUGUAUUUUAGUACAGACAGGGUUUCUCCAUGUUGACCAGGCUGGUCUCUAACUCCCGACCUCAGGCGAUUCACCCGCCUCGGCCUCCCAAAGUGCUGAGAUUACAGGUGUGAGCCACCGUGCCUGGCCUUGAAUCAAUUAUUUACUUGAUGGUUGCCAAACAGAUUUUUCUGAACCAUCAUUUCUUCCAUAUUCACUUGUGAGGUUCUACUGUAAGGAGUAACUUUUUCUUCUCCCCUCCACUUAUUAUUUAUCUUUUAAUUUAUUUAUAUCAGAGUAGACUUAUAGAUUCUUAUUAUUUCAGUAGAUUGUAUGCCUUCCUAUCAUUUUUUAUUUUGAUACUCAAAUAGCCACAUAUCUGGCAAGUGAAUGCUCCUUCAGUCUGGCUCCUGGGUCUUACUGGUGUGUCCCAGUCAUCUUUCAGCAUAAGAGGUCUCUACUUUCAGGCAUAAGAGGUUCUAGGCUCAUCUUGAACUUUCUCAGCCCCUGCCCUGGAAUCAGCGAUUUCUCCAAGGAGCUCUGGUUCCUUUUGGUGAAAAACGGUCUUUUAAAAAAACUGGGGCUAAGAAAGAGAUAGAAAAUGUGUGCAUGUGUGUCUAGGGUGUAUAUAUGCAUUACAAUUGUCCCUUGGUAUUCAUGGAGGAUUUGUUCCAGACUGCCUCCCAAGUCCCACAGUGAGCUCUGUGGAACCUGAGUACACAAAAAAUUGGCCUCCAUAUACAUGGGUUUCACAUCCCAUGAAUAAUCUGCUUUGGUUGAAAAAAUUCCAUGUGUAGUAGACCCCUGCAGUUCAUACCCCUGAUGAAUCAAAGGUCAACUGUAUUUCCUUCCGUCCAUCCAUCCCUCCCUCCUUCCUUCCUUCCCUCCUUCCUUCUUUCUUUCUUCCUUCCUCUAGAUUCUCAUCUUCUUUCUCUAUCUAAUCUAUCCAUCUACCACCCAUCCAUCCAUCCAGUUUGAAAACCAUAAGUUCAUCAUAAACUCCAAUCCAAUCCAAUACCACAAGGUUCAUUCUAGCCCCUCCUUUUCUAUAUUCAUAAAUUCUUUCUCCAAUAGUGGGAAAUCUGGCUUGCAUUAUCUACACUAUUUAUUCAUUUGCUCAAUGCCAUAAUACACAGGGGGAAGUGGUCUCAGCAGUGCUGAUCCAUAUUACUGCGAAAUCACACUUACUAACUAGAGUUCAAUAUUUGUUUACAGUUUUUUUUGCCCUUAGCCUGAGGGUAUAGAUUCAAAUAUUGUAUUGAACAUUUCCUUGGAUUUGUUCUUUUUUUUUUCCCCUUUACUUUAGUGUGGUUAUUUUAUUUGUCUGAAAUCAGGUUAGGUUUAACUGUACUUCUAUAUUACAUUUUACCCCCACACCCAAACCCCACCAAUCCUUCUUUCUUUUUCAUUGUUUAACCUGGUUCAGAGUCGGAACUGUACACAGACAAGUAUACUCCGAGAAGUGUCACACUCCCCUACCCAUUCCUUCUACCUAGGUCUCCCACUCCACCUCCUUUCUGUAAACCACAAAUCAAAAUCUCAUUCAUUUCUGGUUUAUUCUUCCUGUGUUCCUUUUUGCACAAAUGAAUGGAUACAUGCAUAUUUUCUUAUUUCCUUGUCUUCCUUACAGAAAGUUACCAUUUUGUAGAUGCUCUUUUGUCUCCCCCAUCCACCUACCCCACACAAUUAAUAUACCCGGGAACCACUAGGUUGCAUACUCCUUAUGAGAAUCUAAGGCCUGAUGAUCUGAGGUGGAGCUGAGGCGGUGUUGCUAGUGCUGGGGAGCAGCUGCAAAUAAGUUCAUAGAGCUUUUCCUCAUUUUUUCUUUUUUUCAGACGGAGUCUCACUCUGUUGCCCAGGCUGGAGUGCAGUGGCGCGAUCCCAGGUUCACACCAUUCUCCUGCCUCAGCCUCCCAAGUAGCUGGAACUACAGGUGCCCACCACCACGCCUGGCUUUUUUUUUGUAUUUUUAGUAGAGAUGGGGUUUCACCAUGUUAGCCAGGAUGGUCUCGAUCUCCUGACCUCGUGAUCCGCCUGCCUCAGCCUCCCAAAGUGCUGGGAUUACAGGCAUAAGCCACCGCACCCGGCUCCUCAUUUCUUCUUAAAGCUGAGCAGACUCCAUUCUGUGGAUGUAGCACAGCCUCUUCAACCACUCUUUUAUGUAUAGGCAUUUAGGUAGUUCCUAAAAGGACAGUAUAAUGAACACUCUUAUUCGCAUGGAUUUUUAUAUUGCUGGAGGUAUAUCUUCAGGGUAAAUUGCUGGAAGUGGGAUGCUGAGCCAGAAGGUAAACACACUGGUAGCUUUAUCAGAUUCUGCCAGAACCCCCACUACUGCACACAGCCGCGCAGAGAUACCUGUUUCCCUACAGCCUAACCAAUGGACAGUGGCGUGUGUCUGUGCAUGUGCGUGUGUAUACACAGUCAAUGACCAGUUAAUGUCUUUUGAGUUAACUCAAAAGUUAAGAGUUUCUUAUAUAUUAGGGCAGAGUCCCCAGCUCUGCCCCACCCCCCCACCCCCCAGGCUGCACAGCAGGAGGUGAGAAGCAGGCAGGCAGGUGAGUAAGAAAGCUAGAAAAGCUUCCUCUGUAUUUACAGCCGCUCCCCACAGCUCACGUUACCACCUGAGCUCCACUUCCUGUCAGAUCAGCGGCAGCAUUAGAUUCUCAUAGGAGCCCUACUGUGAACUGCGCAUGCAAGGGAUCUAGGUUGCAUACUCCUUAUGAGAAUCUAAGGCCUGAUGAUCUGAGGUGGAGCUGAGGCGGAGGUUGCAGUGAGCUGAGAUCAUGCCAUUGCACUCCAGCCUAGACAACAGGAGCGUGAAACUCUGUCUCAAAAAAAAAAAAAAAAAAGCCUUGAUGGUAUUUUUAGUCUAAGUGCAUUAAAUGUAUAAAUUAACUUGGGGAGAACUGACCAUCUUUGUGAUUUUGAGUUGUCCUACCUAUGAGCAAAGGAUGACUUACAUUUGUUCAAAUAUACUUUUGUGUCUUUCAGAUUGUUUUAAAGUGAUCUUGUGUUGAUUGUGCAUAUUUCUUAUGCACUAUCUUACGUAUUUUAUCUUAUUUGUUGCUAUUAUGAAUAUAUCCCAUAAUUUCCUUUAACUAGUUAUUGCUUGUUGUAUAUAAAAACUAUUGAUUUCUGUAUAAUAAUUUUAUAUCCUGCUCUAUUACUGAAUUCUCUUAUUGUUUGAGUUAGAGAAUCACUGAUUCUUUAAGGUUUCUCAUUUCCUCUGCAAACAGAUAGUUUUACUUCUUUUUCAAUGAUACCUUUAAUUGACUUCUCUUGUCUGUUUGGAUUGGCUAAUACCUUUAGUACAAUGCCAAACAGAGGUGGAGACAGUGGGCCUCCUUGCCAUGUUUCUUAGUGUUUCCCUGCUAUAUAAGAUGCUAUCUAGGACUCACAGACACUUACAAGUCAGUAAAUUAUCCACUAAGUCCUAUUUUUGGAAUUUUUAAAAAUCAGGACAGGGUGUUGAAUUUUAUAAAGUGUUUUCUCAGUAUCUAUGGAAAUAAUCAUACAUUUUUCUUUUUUGAUCUAUUAACAUAUUAAUGAGUUAAGAGAUCUAUUAAUUUUUUUAAUAUUAAACCAAUCUUGCAUUCCUAGAAAAAAAAAUCACAUUUGUCUUAAUGUUAGAUUCUGUUAGUUAAUAUUUAUUUAGAAUUUCUGCAUUGAUGCUCAUUAGUGAUACUGGCCUGUAAUUUUUAUACUGUCUUUAACAGAUUUAAGUAUCAAUAUUAUUUACUUCAUUGAAAUGAAUUUGAAAAUUUUCCUUCAUUUUUGAUGAGCCCAUCCUUUUUCCACUGAAGUACUCCUUCUGAGGAAGACUAAAAAAAAAUUUCUGCCAAUGAUCCUGUAGGAAAAUUCCAAAAGAAACCUUUUUGAUUUCUUCUUGAAAUAGCUUUCAGAACUCCUGUUCUCAAUCAAAUAUCUUUGCACCUACAGGUCUAUGUGAGGUACUUGCAGCACAUGGGUAGUAAGACAAUGAGUUUAUAUUAAUGUGGACUACAUUUAAGAAUCUACAUAUAAGAACCUUAACUGAGGCUUUACCUUAAUACUCCAGACAAACAGGCUGGAGACCUGACCUCCUUAAGAGGUCUGGACCAGUUCUGGUAGAGAUCAGCCCAGAAUGACCAGGCCUCUGAACAUUCCACAAAACGUGUUCCAUGGAGAGGGUGUAGAGGAGAAUAGGGAGCAUUACCGAACAGCAAAGGAAAACACUUUAAGACUCUCCUCAACCAUUUCCAUUAAAAUUUCAGAAACAGGCCAGGUGCAGUGGCUCAUGCCUGUAAUCCCAGCACUUUUGGAGGCCGAGGCAGGUGGAUCACCUGAGGUCAGGAGUUUGAGACCAACGUGGCCAACAUAGUGAAACCCCAUCUCUACUAAAAAUACUACUAAAAUACUACUAAAAAUUAGCUGAGCAUAGUGGCAGGCACCUGUAGUCCUAGAUACUCACGAGGCUGAGGCACAAGAAUCACUUGAACUUGGGAGGCAGAGACUGCCGAGAUCACACCACUGCACUCCAGCCUGGGCGACAGAGUGAGACUCUGUCUCCGAAAAAAACCAAAACCAAAACAAAGAAAACCUCCAGAAACAGAUGAGAACAUAUUUAGAUGUUUUGUAUUGUAUUAAUACUUUUUGCUCAAUUUUAACAAAUGCCUCAGUCUUUGCUAGGAGCUACCCACCUCAACAAGCAUGGGUUCCUGGCCAUACCAUCAAGGUCACAGAGGCAAAGCUGCCUCCAGAGCUAGGCUCUCAAACAAUGCUGCCCAUCAGAAUCGCCUGCAGUUUUAAAACACAAAGCAAAAACAAACUGAUGCUAAGACCCCAGAUACCCUCUGAAUCCCAACCUCCAGAGCCAGAGCUUGGGUGUGUCCCAGAUGAUUAGAAUGCAGCUGGUCCAAAGACUGGGGUUCUAAAACCACUGUUCCCAAAGCUAUUUUUCAAUGACUUUUUUAAAACUACAUUUCUUUUAAAAAAUUUCCAGAGCUACAACAUCAAAGAGGCAGUAAUUCUCUUCUGGUUCCUUCAAUGAUUGAAAUGAAGCAUCGCAUUAUUUUGAUAUUUACUAGGACGGCACAACAACAGUCCCACAGAUGGAGAGAUUUCAUUUUCUAGAGCCAGAGGGUGGUAGGUAGUCGAGGAAAAGGAAAAAGGGGAAAGGAACAAAGAACUGGCAUUCGGACACAAAGUGUGCACCACAAAGUGCCAUUACGUGCAAGACAGCCACUUAGUGUGUCUGAAUCCCUGUUGGUGUUCUGUCUCCCUACAGUGGCUUCAUUCGCGAUCACCAGAUGUCAGGUCUGCCAGAUGUCGUUUUUAGCACCAUGAAGCAUAGCAAGGGCUGGUGUCUCGCACACACACAAGCAUGUGUGCACAUGCACACACACACAUGCACAUACACACACACACAUACAUGCACAAAUCCACACACACACACACUUGAUUGCCACCUCAAUAUGGCAGGCUUCCAACAGUGAGCACACCAGCCAACAUGGCACCAUCUUUCCACUCACUGUAAGAUUUCUCCAAGGUCUUAUAAAUGAAUGAAUGAACGGGCCAUGGGGAAGGGGUAUCUUCAGCUAUAGAUCUCAAGAUUCUACACUGCAAGCAAGCCAGUGGUUCCUUUGACUGAGCACCCAUCCACAUGCUGGGCCCUUGGUAUGAGCCAUGUUCUCAUUUAAAUGUCCCAGUGACUCUCAAGACAUCAUCAUUGCCAAGUAGUCUCAUUUUACUGCUGAUAAGUGGAAGCUACACCGCAGAAGUGGCCUGGUGAGAUCAGAGAACAGUCAACCAGGUUUGCCUGGCUCAGAGGCCCAUCUUCUGACUCACUAGGAAAGAAUCUUUUGCUUUUAUCAAAACAGAAUUUCAAGGUAGAAAUACCACCUCUUUUUUUUUUUUUUUUUUUUAAUGAGACAGAGUCUUGCUCUUCACCCAGCCUGGAGUGCAGCGGCACUAUCUCAGCUCACUGAACCCUCUACCUCCCAGGUUCGAGCAAUUCUCGUGCCUCAGCCACCUAAGUAGCUGGGACUACAGGCAUGUGCCACCAUGCUUGGCUAAUUUUUGUAUUUUUAGUAGAGAUCGGGUUUUGCCAUGUUGGCCAGGCUGGUCUUGAACUCCUGACCUCAGGUGAUCCACCCACCUCAGCUUCCGAAAGUGCUAGGAUUACAGGCGUGAGCCACCAUGCCCGGCCGGCCAGCCUCUUAAAAUGCAUUUGUGUAAGUUUAACAGUCCUGGAGGCUAUAAGGCUUUCUAGAAAGAUCUGGAAAUUGACUUCCAAAUAAUAACAUCAAAAUGGGGUUCUUGCUUUAUCUUUUUUUCUGAGAACUGAAACAGAGUCACCUUACAUUUUCUAAAAGUAAAUACUACCAGCUUGGUGGCCAAGUUCAUCAGUUCUGUGCUAUGUGUCUGAACAGUUAUUUUCCCAGCUCUGUACGUAUUCUGCUUCAAAUACUUCAUUUUCCCUUAUGAAAUUUACAUAAAUUAUAAUACUAAUAAGAAGUUUCUUUACCUACAGAGUGAAGGGGCAUCUGAAACACCUGGGCAAACAAAGGAACCUGAAGGUAACGAAUUCCUUCCUACAGAAGGGCAGCUCCACCCGGCCACUUGGGCCCUUGAUUUUACCCCAGGUACCGUCGCCUUCGGGGUAAUGACAAGGAAGAAUGCCCUGCCCUGCCAGCUGGCCUGAAAACCAGUGUGCCUUUCACCACCCUGACGCCCUGUGUGUCACCUUCCUCUUUCCCUCUCUCGGCUCCCACCUCUCUUCAGAGCCUUCCCUGCACCCCGCCCUGCCAGAGAUCAACCAACACGCCAGAGCUCGUUUGCCGGGAUGCUUAGCACCAGCUUAACUCUUCACUCAGUGGGACAAGGGGCCUCUUUCUUUCAGGCAGGGCUUUGCUCCAUGACACGCUGGGUUUAUGGCCCCCGUGAACGAAACCUGGUUCGGAAUCCAAUUCUACAACAGAUUUUCGUUCAAAUGGUUAUUUUCCAUCCCUUGCCCCCAAUUCCAUUUUCUACCCAUCUCUCCCGGCUCUCUGCCUGUGGGGGCUGACCCCUUGAGACCUGGGUGGAUUCGUGCUUCUGGGUGGGUUCUGUGCUGGCAAGACAUUUUAUAUCCUGUUCUCUUACUGAAUCCUUGUACUGUUUGUUUAGUUUGAUCGUUUAUUCUCAAGGUUUCCCAGAUAUACUACAAUAUCAUCCACAGAUAGAGUUUUACUUCUUUUCUGAUUCUUAGGUCUCCAGUUGGCUUCCGUGUCCACUUGGAUUGGGUAAUACCUCCAGGAUGAUGCUAAGUAUUAUAGAAGUGGAGGCAGUGGGUGUAUCCUGGCCUUGUUCCUCCUGAUCUCUGUGGAAAUGCUCUUAGGUUUCCCCAAGAAGCAGGAUGCUAGCUUUAGGACUCUGGAUCUCACCCACUCCCUCCCACCUAUGAGUCUUUGGAAAAUACUAUUUCCUCCCUUGCUAUUUCAGGCCCAGGUGGCAGAACUCCUCUCUCUGGGGACCCCUCCAUUGUGUGUUUUCCCUUCCACAGGAUUCUGAGUUGGAUCCUGUGUCUGUCUGUGGCCCUGAGAGCUGCAGGUAUCGACUACAGGCUCAGCAUGGUGGGAUGGGCUGUAUCCUCAACCCUGUUUCAACAGGGACACUUCUGCUAGGAGAGGAGAAUGGGCCCAGAUGUAAAGCUGCCCUUCUCCAGGGUUUCCUGAACCUUCUGGUCUCUUUGCCUUCAUCUUGCCUCUUCCUGCUCCGUUAAAAAGAAAAUGCUUCCCAUUUGUUAAUUGUUGAGAGUGUAUGCUGCUGUUUUAUUUUGCUUGACAUCUUACAAUCAAUCUUCUGUAUAUGUUUAUAUAUGCUUUUCUAUUUAAGCUUUUUUUUUUUUUAAAUCUAAAAAACACAGUACCAUACCGCCAAAGGUGUCAGGAAACACGCUCAAAUAAGGAAGGGCUCCAAAGACUGCUUUGCCAACAAAAUGCCAGUAAAAUCUGAAACCCAGGUUCAGACACACUGGGAACGUUCCAAAAUUUAAAACUUAAAGAACUUCUUUAUUCCAGUAAAUCAGCUUCCCUGUGAAUACCAUCAAAAUCCUGGGCUUUAAUGAGUAAGGGAAUAUCAGAGGAAGGGGUGGAGAAGGAAAGGAUUUGGACGAGCACAAAAUUUAAUUUAAAAACUAUUAUGAGAAGUUUAAUUUCCCCUCCCCCAACCAAACACAUAAAUCUUUUCCAUGCAUUUUCUUUGUUUCGGUUUUUCCUAAAAAAUCUGGAGAGGGAAAGGCAUCUUGAACCAUCUGAAAUGACAGAGUCAGUGGAGUCUUUAAUAAUAAAUAUGUGUUUAUUGGAUUCCUAUGAAUUAAAUGACAUAUUAGCUAUAUGGGAGGAUCCAAGGAAAUCGUAAGCAAAAUUGCAUUCUCACCGAAUGUGUAAUCAACCAGGGAGAAAAGACAUUGAUGGGAAGGAUAACGAGUGAUAUGAGGCCUUGGGCCUCUUAAGGAGUAGGGACAACAGAGGUGUCAGAGUCCAGGCGGGGAUGGCUCACUUCGGCAGGGGUGGUCGGGGCCCAGCACACCCCCAAGUGCACUGAAAGAUGCGACCAUGUAGGGAGAAUGAAGCUGGCCUUCACAGUUCAUAAUUCCAUCCACAGGCAGCACUGAGUGCAGCCACAUUUCAACAUUGGAACUUUCCAGGGCGAAGAAGCACUGAACACGUCGCAAGAGCAUGGACUUCCUAGGUUUUCACCAGGCCACGCGUGAGCAUGGGGCUGUGGGUGUCGGUGUGCCUCAGCACUGCCACGUCCACUCUGAGUGCAGGUCCGGCUCAGUUUUGGAUGUUCCUCCGAGAGCAGUCCUCCAGGGCCACCGUGGGACGAGGCACCUCUUUGGUAGGCCAUUUGCACUCCAGCACGGCCUCUGUUCCUAACCACAAUGGGCUGCUGGUUCAAGGACUCCCUGCCACAGCCAGGAGGCACAGAAGACCCCAUGGAGGCACUUGGCUGGUUAAGACCCGCAGGGGUCACCUGCCUAGGCUUAGCCUCAAUCUCCUUGUAGAUAAAACUGGACCCUAACCCUUCACUGCCCAGGGCCCCUAGGGAAUAAAUGUGCCAUGCUGCGUGGGAUGCCCAAGGAGAGUUCUGUGGCAUUUAUUUAGCCACACUGGUUCCUCUCCCCUGGUUUCUUUUCAUCAUCAAAUGGACAUGAUGGAAAGCUCCUUUGCGGUCUUUCUAGGAGAGGAGGCGGCACCUAUAUUCCAGAUGCAGCCAUUUCACAACCAGGCGCUGCUUCCUGGUCAGAGCCGCUCGACCAUGAGGAUAUUCUACAGAAAGAGAACUCAGCUCUCUCCUUCCUACCUCACAUGACCCUAAGGAAAGUUAAGAAAAGAGGAAAAGACCUGUGAAGAUGCCUGAUCAGCUGUCAGGGUUACGUAGACACUGGCUGCUGUUAUUUACUGUUCCCUGGCUGAUAAAAUAGCCAGGUCACCUGUGCCGAUGACCAGACCCACCCCCUACCCACCAGCAGGGCUGCCAGGGCUUUCUGGGGAGACGCUGCAGCUUGGUUCUUAUUUCCUUUGCUCUGCAUCCCUCUGGGUUGACUUGAGUCUGAUCAUGGGUUUAUUCCAUUUCCAUUUUGCUAGAUUCCCUCCACUCCCUCAAGCUUCUACAAAACUGUGGGGCCACCACUCCCCACAAAAGAUUAAAACCAAGAUGUUUCCUAGAGGUGGCAUUUUGUCUUCCUGAAGCUGUUCUGUGCACAGGUCCUCUCCACACUCAUGCCAAAUGCUCGGUGAAGCGUCUUCCUGAAUGUCCCUAAGGGGCACGUGCCACUGGCAGAGCUGAUGGGCACACCUCACUCCCACACAUGCUGUGCCGAGCUCAUGACUCAGCUGUGCAGGGCCCGCCCAAGAGUGAGGCAAACACCAACACCGCACAGCGACCCUUUGUCAAUGGUGGGGACCUCAGUGGCUUCUCCAUCGGAACUUAGGGCUGACGGGCCUCCAGACCUACUGUUACACACUGGCCCACGGAAUGACCCUCAUAAACCCAAGAACAGUAAACAGAGCUUAACAUUCUAACGAAAUCAAGAUUGCUGUGUGUGCUUUCACAAAAUGAAACUGCCUGGAACUUCUCAUAACGUUUUUUAUGAUAAGCAUUAAAAUGCAAAGAGGAAGAUUAAAGUUCCUGCUACAGACCAGAGCAGUAAUGAGUGUGGGAGGAGGAGCUCUGGGUAGGGUCUGGGAGAGAGGUUUAUGUACUGCAUUACAGUUGGAUAUUAUUAUAUAAAAUGAGUGUGUUAUUAAAAGGAUCCUGAAGUUAUAAAAACUCAAAGGAACUUUUACUGAGGAUGAAUAACUUCUUUGGUAAAGAUGAAUGACUCUCACGUCCUAGACACUGAGGUGCAGUCACGUGCCAGAGCUCUUUAAUUGCUAGUAGUUGGAUUUCGUUGUUUUUGUGGGGCACUUUUUUGCGGGGGAAGGGGCAGAAAGAUUAGGAAUACAUUCUUUGAUUAGGAAAGUUCUAGUGGGUAAGAGAAAGUCCCUCUAGUUAGUAACUGAGAAUCUUGAUUAUCCUACUAGAAAAAGGCAAUAAGAAGACGCAUCUCCUAUGGCCAUAACAGCCACCUGAUUUUUUUUGCUCUACUUCUUUUAAUUUUGUUUGUUUGUUUGUUUUCAGACAGACUCUCAUUCUGUUGCCCAGGCUAAAGUGCAGUGGUGCAAUCAUAGCUCACUGCAGGCUUGACCUCCCGGGCUCAAGCCAUCCUCCCACCUCAGCCUCCCAAGUAACUGGGACCACAGGUGUGUGCCACCAUGCCUGGCUAAUUUUUAAAUUUUUUCUAGAGACAGGGUCUUGCUAUGUUGCCCAGGCUGGUUGUUCGACUUCUUAAACAGUACAUACCACCUCAUCCAUUUAAUGUUACAAACACAAUGAAAUCAGUAAGUCAGAAAACUGUAGAGUGAUGUGGUGAAAAACAUUCUUUUUAAAUGUAGUUCUACUUAUUUUAAAUACAUUUAAUUAACUAAAAUUAUACCAGAAUAUGGCUUUGGGCUUGAUCUACUCAAGUAAUUUAUACAUUUUCCCUAUAAUUUUGUUUGUGUCCAUAAACUAGGAAAUUUCCAUGUAAUCUGUAUCAAGACAAUCACAAAUUCUAAAUUAGUGAAGACCAAAGUAAUGUUUCCCUUUACCAUGGUUGGAAGUGUACAGGAUAUUUGGUUUAUUAAUUUUAAAAAUUAUGAGAGUAAUCCCGACAGUCUGGAAAACAGAAACAAAAGAUUUCAUCACACAUACUAACACAACGAUUGCCACCUUACGCAUUUUCUAGUCCUUUCUCAAAGAUGCAUGUUUUAAGAUUUUAAUCUACGAAUUAAUAAUUUAUUGAAACCUGCUUUUUACUUUAAGUGGUCUGAGCAUUUCUGUAUCUUGCCAUAGUCUUUCUGCUGAUGGACAAUAUUCCAUUGAGUGAGUGUGUACAGAGUACUUAACUAUACAUCUUUGUGAGUAUGAACUUUCCGAUGUAUCUGAUCAUUUCUUAAGGGUAGAUUACUAGAAGUGGUAUCAAUGGGUCAAGGAUAUUAACUUUUUACAACUCCUGAUGCCUACUGCCACACUGCUUUUCAAGAGGUUGCUCUAAUGUACACUCCCACUGGGGUUUGAACAAGGCUUAAAAGUACCUGUUUCAUUAUAUCCUUGCCCACCCUGGGUAUUAUCAUUAAAAACCGUUUUGGGCCUGGCGCAGUGGCUCAUGCCUAUAAUCCCAGCACUUUGGGAGGCCAAGGUGGGCCCAUCACGAGGUCAGGAGAUCAAGACCAUCCUAGCCAACAUGGUGAAACCCUGUCUCUACUAAAAAUACAAAAAUUAGCUGGGUGUGGUGGGGUGCACCUGUAAUCCCAGCUACUCAGGAGGCUGAGGCAGGAGAAUUGCUUGAACCCAGGAGGUGAAGGUUACAGUGAGCUGAGAUCGUGCGACUGCACUCCAGCCUGGCGAUGGAGUGGGACCCCAUCUCAAAACAAACAAACAAACAAACAAAAAAACAUUUUGGUGUGUGUGUUUGUUGGCUGAUGUAGAGGGUGAAAACAGCCAACAAACACACCAAAAUCAUGGAGGAUUAGGAAGUGGGACCUAUGGUGUUUCCUUGGCUCUUCAUUCAGAUUGAAGACAGGAAACAACCACAUAGACAUAUUCUGUAUCUGGCUGCCUUUCCCAUGAUCUUACGCUUCCGUGGCUCAAUGGCUGCCUUUCCCACGAUCUUAUGCUUUUGAUCAUCCAUGGAGAAAAACGCAAACGGACGCAGGAAUGCUCCAAUCUGGGCUGUGAAGGCUCAGACAGGCAGGAGGCUGUCUGCCCAGGAAGGCAGGUCAGAAGCUGCUAUUAACCACUCUGGCAGGGCAGUGUUUCUGUCAGCCUGCAGAGCACUUCAGGUUCUGGGAGCAGCUGAUGGCAGAACUGUGGUGUUCUCUCCGUGGAAAAAAAAUGAGGAAGUCAGCAAAAUGUUCUUAAGCCAUUCCGUCCACCAUUUUGUCCAUCUGUGUUGAUUUGGCAGUGGUGUUGGCAAAGAACCUGGGUGUAGGACAAUGUGCUUUGUAAACAGAAGAAAAUGAAAUGAUAGAUGCAGGGGUGCCUUUGUUUGAGCUUGCUUGUAUUUAAAGUUGGCUAAAUAUGCCUCAGCAGAGAUCUUUGGGGACAUGAAUCAUAAUAGAAAAAAACAGCAACAUAUAGGCUUGUCCAAAAUAAAACCUGCUCACCGUGCCUCAGGUAACCCUAAGAAGCGUCCUCUGUUGUAAAAACAAUUCAAAUACAUACCAAGUAGCAAGAAUCGCAUAAGGAAACCCCACAUAGGAUGUCCGGGGCAACAACAUGCAGACCCCCACCCCUGCCGGAGCCGAGUACACACCAACCCACACAUCCAGGGCUCUGGGCAGCGGUGACUGUUCAGUGAGACCGCUUUCAGCAUUUGCGAGAAGCUGCUCACCAACUGCCAAGUUCCUGCUGGGUCGGCCAAGAGGUAUGAACCAAAAAUGAAAAAACAUGAAAGGUUUGUUUUUUAAAGGCAAUACAUCAAACAUAAAAAGAGCCCUUUUGUAUGAAUUUUCAGUGUGGGAGCCAGAGAGGAGAAAAAAUCAUUUUCCCUCCUGGGAGGAAGCAGUUUGACCUCACCUGCGACUUUUCUCUUACGGUGUGGAUUUUUCUCACCCCAUUAAAUGUAACCUACUCUAGGUGGGUUAGUACCAUGUGAGAGAAAUAGGGGGUGAUGGGGAAUAUGGCAGACAGGCAGGCUGGGGCUCAGACAGAAUGCCGAGCACCCUCGAGGGUGGGCCCUCGAGGGCCACGGAAGCGGGUGCCACGGGGCUGCAUGGAAUGCGGCUGCUCCAAGGGGCCUGUUUGCUGGACACACAAGGAUUAAGUUUCCAUGGCUCCAAAACCCUUGCAGCCUCCCACCCCACCCCCGGCAAAAGCACUCUUUGCAAAAGGAAAGGAAAAAAGAACAACCAAGUUAGAAUGGGGUUAUCUUCUUACCACUUUCACAAAGAAAGGGCUGGCUGGGAUGGACACAGCAGGUUUCCCACUGUGAAGCCAUCAGAAAGGCAGCGGAAAAAAACCUCAUGGCAGUUAGGUGUGGGCCAGCCACACAGACAGGAACAAGCGAGCUUUCAAACCUAGAAGGUGAGUGCGCUACCUGUCAGCGUUCACAGGACUUUGCUCUGAAGAACAGUAAAAGACCAUCUCAGCACCGGGUCCCUAAAUCCCCUUCCCAUUAACCAGGUGCCAAUAGUGAAACCUAGAAGGGGACCCUGGUAAAUCACCCGGCGGCUACCCCGCAGGCUCCCAGCGCUACGCUCUGGGGACCGUCAGCCUUUUCUUCUGUCACACAGCAGGAGAAUGAGCUCACUUUGGCAUCUGUGUGACCAGGGACGGCUGCCAUCUGUGUGUCACUGUUAUCAGUGGUCAGAGCAGAAGUAGCAGGUGGAACCAUGUGAAAUCCCUAACAUUCAACCGUUUAGACCUGCAAAAAUGGCUCUUUCCUUCGAUUUACCCUGAUGAUGACAAGAAAAGGAGAAGGGGGGGAGGGAAGGGAGAGGGGGAGGGAAGGGAUGGAAGGGAAGGGAGCGGGGGGAGGAGGAGGACGACCAUGAUCAUCAGCCAAUUGUGCUACGUCAGUCCAGAGUGAGCUGCUACUUAUGAUUUCAUUUCCUCCUUAGACUGAUGGGAGCAAUGACAAUCCCCAUUUGUAGAUGAGGCACCUGCUCAGAGAACUGAAGUUACUCAUCCAGGGUCACAUGGCUGUCAAGAGGCAUGCCCAGUACCUAUGACAAACAUUCAUCCCCAAGUAACGAAGCCAACAACCUGUGUCUCACUCCAGAACCACAGAGCUGUUACAACACGUGGUGCCUCCUGAGCCAGCAGCCAGGGGCAAGAACGAGAGGAUGCAGGGAGAGGCUCUGGGGAAAGGGCUGUGUCCCCUCAGUCAUGUGACCCCCAGGCUUUCUAGAGUGACUCAUGGUGAGGACAGCAAAGAUCUCAAAAUGCUGUCUAGACCUUAACUCUGCCCAUCACCCCAUCCAUUUGGUUUUGUUUCCCUUUCAUUUGCAUGUGUAGUCACAUGCUCAGCAUCCUUGGGGGCAGCUGCAUCUGUGGUCCUCCAGAACCCCAAGCUUUGCAGUUGGACUUGAACCCCUCAUGCGCUUUUGAUUCCUGAUUAAAUAACCUGAUUCGAGUUGUUGAGAUCUUUAGUUUACAUCAAAUAAUUCUUCUUUCUAUUGCUCCAUUCACUUCUGCACAUUGCCUUAGGUACCGAUUCAUUUUCUCUACGACCCCCGCUGCUUACAUGAGUUCUAAGAUCAUCCACAGGUGUGUGCCUGUCGGAGGGCUCGGAGAACACGGGACAGCAGGAAGCAGUCUUUUUUUUUUUUUUUUUUGAGAUAGAGUCUCGCUCUGUUGCCCAGGCUGGAGUGCAGUGGCGCAAUCUUGGCUCACUUCUACCUCUGCCUCCUGGGCCCCAGUUCAAGCAAUUCUCCUUCCUCAGCCUCCCAAGUAGCUGGGAUUACAGGCAUGCACCACCAUGCCCAAAUAAUUUUUGUAUUUUUAGUAGAGACAGAGUUUCUCCAUGUUGGCCAGGCUGGUCUUGAACUCCGGACCUUGUGAUCCACCCGCCUCGGCCUCCCAAAGUGCUGGGGUUACAGGUGUGAGCCACCGCGCCCAGCCAGGAUGCAAUCUUAUUGGUGUGUCACUUUUAGCCCAAGAAGCAAAAAAGUGGAGUGAGUAAGCUGGUAGGAUCAACUGUUAUUUUUAUAUUAAAACAAACAUGUACCAGAAUUAUGGAGUAAAAAUUAUGCAAAAUUUACAAGCAUGUUAGAGAUAAAUCAGACCUUAAAGAAAUUUAGUGCUAGUCAGAAGCUACAUAAAUGGUCAGGCAUGUGGCUGCUGGUGCAAUAUUGUCCCUUUACGGCCAAGAGACCUCAGACAAGUUACUUAACCUCUCCCAUCGAAAGCAUCUCUCAUGAAGAUGCUGCUUCAGUCAUAGGGUUGUCAGGAGGAUAUACCAAGUUAGUGCCUAUGUGGACAGCUGUUUAGAAGCCUCAGAGCACCCUGUGAAUGUGCUUUCAGACCUGCCCUGGAUUCUUAGCUUCUACUAAGGACGAGCUACGGGUGUGACUGGGUUACGCUUGGCUCAUUCUGGCCUCCCUGCCGCAACUUUUCCAAAGAGGCGAUCUCUGAGCUCCUGGGAGCAAACCCAUGAGGAUACAGAUGAUUCGGCAACUUUGUGCCAGGCCCUCUCCAGGCUCUGGGGUUGUUUCUGUGAACAAAUGCUCUGUCUCUGCACCCAGGGAGCUGGCAUUCUAGUAUGUGUGUGCAAGGCGGUGGGAGAGAGACAUAAAUGCAUAAUGUGUCAAUGCAGUGAAAACAAAAUACAGCAGAUAAGGGGUACAAGGAAGGACAAAGGAUGGGGUGUUCAAGUGGUCCCUGAAGGCUGCUGCAAUAAGGCAUUUGUUCAGAAAGAAGAUAGUGAGAGCAUACCAUGAAGACAUGUGACAGAGGACUAUUCCAGGCAGAGGCAGCGGCAAGGCCAAAGGCCCUCAGUGGGAUUGGAGAGGAACAAAAAGGUGACCGACGUGGCUGAAGCACACUCUGUGCGUAUGGGGUUGGGGGGAAUAGGAAUAAGGGUUAUGCUGGUUGGGGGACAGAUUUGGAAGUGUGCAGGUCAUAGUAAGAACUCUGGAUUUUUUACUGAAUGAAGUAGGAAGCAACACUGAGCCUUUCUAAGCUAACAGGGAUGAGAUAACUAAGUUACAUUUUAAAGGAAUUCACCUGGCUGCCACAUGGAAAACAGCCUGGUGGAAGGAAGAAAGAGAUGUGUUCUGCACAUUUUGAAAGUGGAACAAAGAGGACCUGAUGAUGAACUGAGCUCCUGAAAGGAAGAUGGAGUCAAGGGUGAGUUCACGACUUCUGGCACACACAACUCAAGGAAAAAGCGAUGUGCCGUUUCCCAAAAGCAGGAGGCAAGGGCUGAGCAGGCUGGAGGGUGGAAUCUGGUGCUGGACUUAGAUGUAGCAAGCAUAAGAUGCCUAUGAGACAGCCCACGGAAUCCAAGCAGAAGUCUGGAGUGGGAGGGAGAGGUCUGGGCUAGGAUAUUCAUUUGGGAAUCAUUAUCGUGGAGAUGGUUCUUAGAACCAUGGGACCAGGAGAGGUCAGCCAGCGAAUGAGUUGGGCUGGAGAGGGGAAGACGUCUGAUUAACCUGACUUUGUUCUCUGGCAAAGGCACCAGGUUGAGAAUUCAGAAACUCAUAUCCCUGGUUUCUUUUUAGCAAACACGAAGCAUGGUGACCAAGCCAUGUCAUCACACUGGAACCGCAAAAAAGAGAAGAAAGGAAAUGCGCUUCGUCUUCUGCGAGGACACAUUGACGGUGCUCAGCUAGCCAGCAUCUAGGUCCCACAGAGGGCAGGAGGGAUCCGGAAACACUGAGGUCCCCUCCUGAGAGGCUCAUGCCCUCACAUACUUUCUUAAUAUAAUCAAAAUGGGAGUAAAUGAUGACAAUAUGCAACUUUCCAAAUACUGAGGGUUCUGGACCAAGCUACUGAAACAGAUUUCAUAGUUGCUAUGCUCCAUACUCUGCCUAGCAUACGGUAGUCAUUUUAUAAACAUUUGACAAAUAGUUAUAUUUCUAACAGAAACCAGAAAUUUGGGGCCAUGACUCCUUUACAGCUCAAGAAAUAUGCAAAAUUAGUAUUCCCUGAGAGACAGAUGUCUGAAGGCCCCAAGCAGUCCAACCCUGUCCUGUCAUAGCCUGAGACAUCCUGCCUUAGGGAGUAAGUUAUUACUAACUGUGGACAAGCUCUGUUUCCCUUUUGGAGGAACUGAGGGCAGAGAUCCUGCCAUUAAUUCCUCCCCCAGUGCCUGGGAUAGUGCCCUGUGCACAGCAAAUGCCCAAUACAUCUAAAUAAAUGUCAAAUGAAUGAGCGAAUAAAUAUUCAUUAAAAAUUAACCAAACAGUUAAUUUAGGUCAUUCAGUGGAAAAAAGAAAAACAGUGAAACUAGAAAAGCAUCUUUUUAAUUUAAAAGGUUAAUUAAGGACAAGGUUUUAAAAAAAUAUUUUGGUGGAUUUAGUAAACCAAGCACACCUGGGACUCAAAAUAGUUGCAAUCUGUAACUCUAAACACAGCCCAUUAUGUCCCACGAAUUAGAAAAUGAGGGAAAGUUGCCUGACUCGCUUCAUGAUUCUAGUAUAAUCUCAAUUCUUCAACCAGAUAGUGGACAAGAAAAUAAAAAACCCCAAACACUUAAACACACAGAUGUGAAAAUCAUGAAUAAAAUGCUAGUUAACUGAAUUCAAUGCUACAUCUUAUGUGUAUUAUAAUCAGAUAUUGUUUAUCCUAGAAAUGCAAGGAUGGUUUAACAUCAGAAAAAUGUAUCAACAUAAUACAUAACAUAUGGGUGGGCAAAAUGAGGAAAAUCACAUGAUUUUCUGAAUAGAUGCAGAACAGACAUUUGGUAAUUUCAGUAGCCCUAGGUCAGUCCAAAUGAUCUAUUAGUCUGAUCAAUUUAAUGAUUUUAUUAGAUUCUCUAAUUCCCAAAAGCAUAUUUCUUUUUACUAUUUAAGCAUUUUACAGCAAUCUGUUUUAGAUGUAUAAGCAGGGCCCACGAGAGCUGUGAGGAACCAGGACUCGGAUAAUCCAGGGCGUUGGGAGACUUCCCCAAACCAGGAAAUGAUCCCAUGCACCAUCUGAGCCUUCCAGUCUUCCCACAGACUCUACCAAACAUUAUCGGGGCCACUAACAAAGAAGGAAGAAAAACUACUUUCAAUGUUAGCUCUCCCUUUGACUCUUCUACUGAGGGAUAUGUGGGGGACCCAUGUUUAUGAAUAAUAACUUCCAGAAAUAAAAAUUCAGGAGAGACAAGCAAUGCAGCACCUACAGAAACAAAAAUAAUCAGACCUAAAUCCACAAGUUUAUUAAAGUGACUUUUUAUCAUGAUCUUUUUUUUUUUUUCCUGCAAUGGAGUCUCACUCUAUUGCCCAGGCUAGAGUACAGUGGAGUGAUCUCGGCUCACUGCAACCUCCACCUCCCAGGUUCAAGCAAUUCUCCAGCCUCAGCCUCCCAAGUAGCUGGGACUAUAGGUGCACACAACCACACCCGGCUAAUUUUUGUAUUUUUAGUAGAGACGGGGUUUUACCAUGUUGGCCAGGCGUAUCUCAAACUCCUGACCUCAAGUGAUCCACCCGCCUCGGCCUCUCAAAGUGCUGGGAUUACAGGGGUGAGCCACAGCUCCCAGCCUAUCACGAUCUCUCUUAACACUGCCCUGACAUAACUCAUGGCUGUACCAUCCAAAGACAGUAUUUUGUGCUAUGUCUGAAAACCUUCCAAUCUGGCCUUAAAACAAAUAUUCAGCAACAUAAUAGAGUGAUAAUGUCAGAAAAGAGUAUUGGCUCCCAUAUCCACAGUUGUUUUAAUAGCAUUUAAGACCAACAUUUUAUAAAUAUUAUUAGAAAUAAUAUUUAUUUUUUAUUAACAUUAAAAUUAAUAUAAUAAAAAUAUAAUUUUUCUCCUAGCUUUGCUUAUGUUUGUGUUUUCAUAAAUAGUAGAGGGGAGAACUAAUGAUUAAUCAAUGGGCUGUGCAUCACUUGGGAAGUUCCCUGUGUAAAAAGCUCUAAGUUAACAUCUUUGCAAAACCAUUAGGAAGAAUUUCCCAAUAAUCCAUUUAAACAUAUCAGAUUAAUGAGGAAUUAAAUGCAUCUGCACUUAUUCUUGGUGUGGAUUUCAACUGUUUCUCAAAGCUGAACUGAGCCAGAGCCUGCUCAGCAGAAGAAAAAUUGAGAAGGCUAAUGGAGAGAGCCGUUAGCGUAGGAUGCAAUGGUUUGCAACUUGGUGGGCACACACGGUCUGAAGCCUCACCCUGCCCUGACGCCUGCAUUCCUAAUUCUGUGCAUUCACAUGUUGACUUAACACUGGUUUAUUGAGCAUUUACUAUGUAACACUGUUCUAGAGACCGAGAAAUACAGCAGUAGACCAAGUAGGCUUACGUUCUGGCAGGAGGAGUCAGACACUCAACAAAUAUGCAAAUACAGACACAAAUAUUGGGUUGUGGGGUUAGAGAAGAAGUAGUGAGAGCUAAGGAUGGUGGGGAGAAGCCCUCUCUGAUAAGCUAACACGUGAGCAGAGACUUGAAGGAAGUGAGAGACUCGGGAAGCUACCUUGGCAAGGAACGAUCCGGGCAGGGAGAAGAGUAAACACAAAGGAUGGAGGUAGUAGCGUGUGCUUGACCUGAGGCCCAACGAGGAGGCCCAGACCACUGGAUGAAGUGUGUGCACAGUGUGUGUAUGUGUGUGUGCAGGUAUUUGGGGGAGGAAGGGAGGCAAUCACACAGGGCUUCCAGGGAGGUGAGGACUAUGAAUUUUCACUUAGCAUAAUAUUUUCAAGAUUCACCCAUGCUGUCACACAAAUUAAUAUUUUGUUCUUUUAUAUUGCUUGGAUUCCUAGUUGUAUUCUAGUAAUUUGUUUAUCCGUUCACCAAAUGAUGACUAUUUAUGUUGUUUCCAGUUUGGGGUUAUUCAAAUAAAGCUGCUAUGAAUAUCUACAUACAGUCUUUGUAUGGACAAAUGUUUUCAUUUAUCUUGGAAAGGCAUCCAUCUAUCAACUGAUUGACUGACUGAUUGAUCUGCUCACUAUGUAUCAUCCAGUAAUGCCAUUCCUAGGGAUUUACCCAAGAUAAAUUCCAGACUGUUUUCAAAAGUGGCUGUUAUCAUUCUGCAUUCCCACCAGUAACACAUGAGAGUUCCAGUUUCUCCACAUUCUUGUCAACAUUUGGUAUUGUCAGUCUUUUUUAAGUUCAGCCCUACUAAUGCAUGUGAAGUGGUAUCUUAUCAUAGUGUUAAUUUGCAUUUCUCUGAAGACUGGUGACACUGAGCAUUUUCUCAUGUGCCUUUAGGAAUUUAUAAAUUUUCUUUGCUGAAGUGUCUUUUCAAAUUUUUGCCUUUUAAAAAAAUUGAGUUGUCUUAAUAUUGAGUCGUAAGGUUCUUUAUAUAUUCUGGCUAUAUGUCCUUUGUCAGAUAUAUGUCUUGCAAAUAUUUUCUCCCAGUCUGUGGCUUACCUUUUCCAUUUUUAAACUGUGUUUUAUAAAAAAAAGAAGUUUUUUUAGAUCAAAGUCCAUUUUAAUCAUUUUUUCUUUUAUAGUUCAUGCUUUUUGUGUCUCAUUUAAGAAAUCUUUCCCUACUCCAAUGUCACAAAUAUAUUCUCUGAGAAGCUUAACAGUUUUUGCAACUAAAUUUAGGUCUAUGAUCCGUUUUGACUUAAUUUUUCCAUAUGGUGUCAUGUAACAGUUGAGAUUUUUUUCCUAUGCAGGCAGAUAUUCAAUGGUUCAAGUACCAUUUAUUGAAAUGGCUAUCUUUUCUCCACUGAAUGACCUUGGCACUUUUAUCAAACAUCAACUGGCCACACACAGGUGAGUCUACUUCUGGACACUUACCCUGUUCCAUUCAUCUGUAUAUCUCUAUCCUUACACCAACACGCAUAGUCUUGAAUACUAGGGCAAGUUAAUUUUAAGAUGUCUCCUGGAUAUGUAAAAAUUAUAUCUGAGUUGAACUACAGUUUAUUUAUAUAUCCAGGCAGCAAAUAAAUGUGAGAAUCUGGAGGUGAGGGAAGAGAUCAGAGAUACCACCUUGGAAACCAUCAAUUUAGAGAUGAUUCUUAAGGCAGGGGACUAAGGGACACUCUGUAGGACACAGACAUAGAGAAGGGAAGGGGCUGCGGCCUGAACACCCCACCUGCAUGCUCACUCACAUACUUUCGUCGGCCUGUGUUAACGAAGUGCUGGGUCUCCCCAGCCUCUCUCAUCUGUAAGCAGUGCCAACAACGUCCAACACAGUUCCAUCCAAUUUGGAUCUGCCAGAUUUCCAAGGAGCCGAAAACUUGACCCUACAAAUCAGAGUCCCGAAUUCAGCCCAGAGGCUCAGAAAGUUGCUCCAGUUUUCUAAGCCUCAGUUCUCAAAUUUGGAAAAAUAGAAAUUCAGUAACUAGCCAAAAUCAUAGGGUUGUUUGUGGACAACUAAUAAGAAUAAAAUGUAAACAUUUAGACACGCAAGCCCCGUGAGGAAAAUCCAGCCGUCCCUCUUUCUAAUCAGGGUGGUGUGAGUUUCCUAUGACCCAUUUCCACCAUUUCCACAUUUAUGAACCGUGAUCAACAUUAGACACUGAAAACACAGGAAAACAACUUCUGGACAAAUCACUGUGAGCUCAAAUGACCCCGCAGACUCUGUGGCCAGCUUGACCCCACCACUCCAUCAUCAAAGAGGACCAUGGUGAGAGCCUGAGGGAUGAGGCACUACUUGUUGAUGCUGGCAGGGAUCAGCAGAAACAUAUGUUUUCAUGCUGAAAACAGAAGACACAGAUGUGGGCACACUUAGAAUGCACUCCUGGCACACAGUGGGUACUCCGUAACUACUUGGUGAACAAAGAGACACAAAGAAACAGCAGUCAUUUGAACAAUCAGCUGAGAAAACAGAGACUCUGUGACCAAGCUCUCCAUCAGGUAUGGAACAGAUGCAGUCACAGGAAUGAUAACAGUCACAAGGAAAGCUGAGGGUGGCUCCCUGCCGGUACCGCUCUUGGCAGUUUAUGGGAAAUUAUUCAUCCUAUGGAGCAGCACUAUUAUUAACCCCGUUGUACCAGUGAGGAAACAGAGGCAGGAAGGUACUAGAAUUACUCCCACUUCAUAGGUUAAGGAAACUAAAACCCACCAAAAUGGCAGGGCUGGGACUUGAACCUAGGUCAUCAGGCUAUGGGGUUCCACGGACUAUGGCUCAGCUAUAAUACUACGCGAUAUUCUCUCCCAUCUUCAGAAUGUUUGCUUCACUUCAAGUAAAAGACAGUAACUAAAAAUUCUCUUUCCAUCAUCUGUUACCUUAAAACAGCCUAACUCACAAAACUUCACAACGCAAGCCCAGGUAUUAUGGAACCCACCAAGAAUAGCAAGUUCAGUGUUGGCUGCCAUUUCUAAGUGGACAGUGUUAAUUCCCUCCACUUAGUUGAGGGGCGGAGAGAGGUGUUGAAGGAAAGAGAUGAGAUGACAAGUCUGAAGUGGCUUCAUCACAAAGCAUCCAUGGCUGUGAUAUGUAGCUGUGUCAUCCAUGGCAACAUUCGCCUGAAUGGAGAUUGUAUUAUGGACAUUGUUCUGGGAUGCCUGAGGCUGAUGACAUGGGACAUGCCGGAAAUUUAUGUAUUUCCUACAUAAAUAUGCAGCUGAACAUAUUUAUGUAGGAAAAUUAAAGACCAGACUGGUCAAUCACUGGUAAGCCGUCAAUGCCCCCUCAAUGAUUACCCUUGUCAUUCGUGCCAGCCAAAACACACCCAGUUCACAAUAGAGACGCAAGUAACUUUUCAACCUGCAACUGACCGCUAGAAAUUGAUUUUAGUAGUUGCCUCUAUCCUGUGAUAUUUUAGAAAUCAGGUUAUCAUGCAUAAUUAGCUCUCCAGCCCAAAUCAUCUGUGCCACAUUCUAUUAUAACAAUCGGAGAGGUUAUGACAAUCAAGAAAAGGAAAAAAACACAGGCAUCUGUCUCAUAGUUCAAUUUUAACAGGAAUAAAAAUAAUUUGAAAGAAAGAACAAAUACAUAGAUCAAGGCCACAUCUGCCAUCUCAUUGCAAGGCACAUGCCCAUCCUGUCUACAAAGCUUUUGGCAUAGCAUGUCUGGUGCACAGUAAGUACUUAAUCAGUGGCAGUUCAUCUUUUUAUUAUUAUUAAUGUUUCUAGCAUGAAUGGAUCUCAGAGAGUCUAUUAACUUUCCUUCCUAGUCAAGGGAUGCACAAAAAUUUAGCAAAACUUCAGAUAUUAAUUUGCUUCACUGUGAGUAGUUAUGUUCUAUUUAUAAAAAUUGCAAACAGAUUGAUUUCCUUUCUUUUUUUUUUUUAAAUUUUUUAAUUUCUUUUAUAGAGACAGUUAUCUAACUAUGUUGCCCAAGCUGGUCUCAAACUCCUGGUCUCAAGCAAUCCUCAUGCCUUGGCCUCCCAAAGUAUUGGGACUACAGGUGUGAGCCACUGCAUUCAGCAUUGAUCUUAUUUUCAUUUGCAAUUUUAGCAGCAAUAUGAUAUAUAUAAUAUUCUUUAAUAACAAUAUUCAUAAUGUAUAUGACAUAAGGUAUACAAGAAUACAACUAUUUUAUACACUAACAGUAGCAAAUAAUAUUCUCUUUCAAAAUUGUGAUUCAUCGAGGCAGGCUAACAUUAGCUGAAACAAGUCCAACUGCAGUGGCCCAAGUCCAGGGCUAGUCAGGCAGCUCUCCUCCAAGCAGUGACUGAGGGCCACAGGCCUCUUGCAACUUGGGAUGCCGCCAUUUUCCCACAAGGCCUCCAAGAUUGCAGCAUAAGGGGAAAGGGACAGUGGGAGAAUCUCAUGGGCCAGGCCUGGAAGAAGCGUACUUCAUGUCCAUCUGUCUGUUGGUUGUCCAGGCAACGCCAGCCCAACUGAAAGGGGACUAUGCGCCCAGGAGAAAAAUGAAAUAGGGUUGGGAAUCACUGUUUUCUGUGUCAUAAACAUUCUCUCCGUGGACAAUUAACAUCUGCCUUGUACUUUACAGAUGUUUACACGGCACUUUUCACUAUGUCUUAUUUAUUCAUUCAGAAAAUUUAGUCAAUAAAAAAAGUUGAAAAGUUGCUAUUGUUAUUGCCAUUUUCCAGGUGAAGAAACUGCGGCUUGGAGAAGUCAUUUAGCAUCCAAGCAGAUGAGUGGCACAGCCAAGGCUUCAUUCCCUGACCUCCGCAUCCAAAUCUCAAGCCCUUUCCACUUUUCUUUGCGUCGUACUGAACUUCAAGAAGAACAGAGAUCCUGUGAUAAAACAGAUUUAUGACAGAAGUAGGGUUACCUUUUCACUCCCAAUGGGAUCCAGUGUUGUGUAGUUCCAUAAAAAAGGCACGAUCCCCACACAAUUCAACGGAACAGCCUGAGAGCAGGCUUUCACCAGUCCAUAGUCAUAUAUGAGCCAGUACAGGGAGUGUUUCAAAACUGAAAUAGAAGUUAAUAUCCUGAUAAUCUCAAAAUAAGACUUCUAAUUCUUAUUUUAGAGGUCAAAGAGAUGGGUGUAGAUAUGGGUGAACAUGAUUAAAUCAAAAUUAUGGAUGUGAAGAAAAACUCUGGGCGAUCAGGGUCCAGUUCCUAACCCUGUCCCCUUAACUAGACAUGAAACCCAUGUGGAAUACUCAUUGUCAUGGUGACAACCGGGUGGAUGGAGUUUGAAGACAGGUCAGAACACACUACUAGGUCCACAAAGCCCAAGGCGUCACUGAGCUGGGUGUGAAGUGGCUGUCUGGCACAUCUUCUUCCAUUGACAAGCCGGCCUUUGUGAUGAGAAGGAGGCUCAUGGCACAGUCUCAGCUGAGUCCACUCCUGCAGGCAGGCAGCAGGGAGGACAAAACGUCCCCAGCUUCCUUCUCCAUGGUCUCUGCCUAGAGAGCAUCAGUAUUUCGAUGUUCAGCAUGGAAUAGACUUCCAUAACAUUGAAAGCAGUGAUCUUCUCUUUUCAAAACAAGGUGUUGUAUGCAGUAUUAAAUCUGGAUUCCAGAAACGCUCGCACAGGGCGACCUUGUGUGCAGAAGUUUAUUGCCAAGGUUCCAGUUUAUGCCCACGAGGCGCACAGCGAGGCUUCUGGAGGCAGCAGCUUGCUUUUGGCAUUCCCUUACAGAGCUCAGAGCCCCGACAGGUUUUGGCUGUAAGAAGUAUCCCGCAACUGAUUUAUUCCUCAAUUUCAAUUAUUUUUUUCUCUACAUGAAUCAUUUCCAUGUUUCCAAAGCAGAAGUAGAAAGAAAGAAAAAAAAACUCAUAAGGUGAAAAAAACUUCCAAAGUGUUUUGUUUUGUUUUGUUUGUUUUUUUAUUGAAAAAAAAAAAAAGCCUGCAAUACAGGAAUGGAUUUGCUAUCAAACAUCCAUUUCAGGAAACCACCAGGUAGAAUCGGGCAAUUUGAUGGGCAAUUGGGUCUCAAUUUCCCCAUCAGGAACAACGUCUGUGCACACACACAUACACACAUUCACUCCCAAGCCAUCCACCUCACCAGACCAUGAGCUUUUAGGGAGACCGAAUUCCAGCCAGGAAGGCAGUUUCCUUUUCACUGUACCAACAUAAUGCUUCAUUACACCAAGACACAGCACUCUCCCAUCUGCCAGGUCAAUAAAGAAUGAAGCUUAAAAUUCACAGUCACCUUUACAAUGCUAAGCAUUUCAACCUUAAAUGAAUGUGCAGUCCACCAAUCCGCUUCCCCGGCCUGCAUCCAGCUCUUCCCGUAGCUGAGGCUCAAAUGAUCUUCCACGGGGUCCAUUAGUUCCUCUUGGCUGGUCCCUGGGUUCAAUGCAACGCUCCCAGCAGGUACGGUAACUGCCACUCAUCUGAAACUCCCAAGUUACACUCUGCCUCACUGACAAGGGCAUGGGGCGCUGCCUCCUAUUCUGUUUUGUGGGUUCUUUGAUCACCAGAAGGAAUUUCGAGCCACUGUGCUAAGUAACUCGAAUUACUCAUAGGCUGGGAUCCCAGAAGCCGCUGGGUUCCUCCAUAUACCAUCAGAAGCUGAGCUUCUCCAGAGGACACUGAAGAGGCUGCUCAAGAACCCUACAGCAGGUUGUCCCAGAAUUACCCACCAUGACCUAGGUAGCUGACUAAAUGCCACAGCCCACCUGAAGUUUCCCCAGGCAAACACCUGGAGUGUCUCAUGACUAAGCAAGAUGUCCUAUGGAGCUAAAAAUAACCCUCCUAUCCCUUCCUCCUCCUGCCAUCCCCAUCUCUCUGACCCUCUGUGGUCCUCAAAGGGCAUUUAAGAUUUGAGUUUCCUGGCCAGAACGUGGGCAAGUGCUUGUAUUUAUUUGCUAUUUACUAACUGCUGCCAUAGUAGAUGGCGUUUCUAAAACGGUAUAAAACAUCUACCAACAACAUCAGGUUUUUGGUAUUCUAUAUGUGACUGUUAAAAUAAAAAUGGACCUUGGCUACCUAUAAUGAAUGAGCCAAGUAAAAGCACUCCAAUCCUGGCGUCCAAUUCUAUCAGCUGAUAUUUGACACAGGGUUUGACAGUUGACAAACUGUCUCUCCAUGGUUCCCUCUUAACAGCUCCAUGAGGUGGCAGGGCCAGUACAAUCAUCCUUGUUUUGUAUCUGAGCAAAGGACAUUGUGGAGAGAUUAAGCAAGGCUACAAAAUCGGUGAAGGAUUCCGACUUUCCACUACAGCAAGAGGUCUCAGUGCAUGGCUAGCCCUAGGCGAUGCCAGAAACAUGACGACAUAAGUAAUACUUUUUUUAAUAGCAAAGAAAGCAAGCCAGUAAGAUGUCCAGCUUGGGAAAUAUGAAGUUGGCAAGGACAAAAGAUGCCUCCAAAUUUUAAAGAAAAAAAAAUUUCUCUCUCGGUUAACCCUCACUACUCCAUCAAGAGUAACAGCAGAGUCCAGGUAUCCCCUGGAAGUGGGUCAGGUUCGGGUCUGCACUGUCUUCCUUGCUUCCAGGUACCUUCCUCCUCCCAGGCCGCACGGAGUCCCGGGCCCGGCUCCGGGCGCUGUGUUUACAGGCAGGGCGGCAGGAAGGACAUGACCUCCCCAGCUCUGCGGCAGGUUAAGCAGCCUGAUUGAACGUGGCUGCUAAUUAAGGGCCCCUCUUGUCUGGCAGGGCCACCAGGGUACCUUCUGCACUUGUUCAUGACCACUGCACCUCGCUCAGAAAUUAACUCUUGAUGAGUGCAGACAGGGGCCCAGCUGGUCCUCCCGAGUCCUCCCAAGUAGAUAAAUGAAGUGUAAUAAGAAUGCCGCUGACUGCCAAGGGAAGAGGGGCUCUCCGUGACCUCUUGGUAAAAUCCAGAGUAUACUUUUACUAUGACUUAAUUCUCUGCACUGGGGACACCUAACGUAGCCAGGAAUGGUGUGAACAGACCACUAGCCACAGGGACAGCAUAGAGGCGUCCAUCACUAGACGUCCACUUCAUGAAGUAGGAGUUAAAAGAAUAAAGAGGUAAUUUAUGAGAAACUAAUUUUCAAUUGACAAAUAUUUUCAGGAGGUGUGAUGACCUACUUUUCUCCAUAACUCUUCAUGGGCCCAGGGACAAUGGUGGCUCCUAUUACAGUUUGCAAAUGGUACAAUCAUUCCGCUCAGGUUUAAAAUAUUAAAUGCUCAUCUUCUAUCACUUACAGAGGGAUUCUUUCCCUGAAGCUCUAUUUAAGGAGAGGGAAAUUGCGGCCGUCAUUGUCCAGGCCUCCCACAUACAGAAACUUGGUAGACAGACAUGUUCUGGGUCACAUGGCUAAGCUGUACUGACAUGCUGCUCGAGUCCAGAGGUAUCGCCAUUGAGUUCAGCACAGUCAGGACCAGAGCCUUUUCCACCAUUCAUCUCAGGAAGCCAACACACACAGCUGGUAAGGGGGAGGGCUUGGAGCUAGGAGACUGGGAACUGUGUGUGGUCAGAAGCCACCUCACUGCCCUGGCCCACAGUGUGGUUCCCUGUGUGACAUCAUCUUUGAGAUAUGACAGAGACAAAAAGCAGGCUGAGAGUCCCUGCUCUGGACUCUAGAUCACAAUGAAGCCACAUCUUUCUACAACUUUUGAAAGAAGCAGGUGAGGUUUCCGAAAAAAAAACCAAGUGAAAUGAAAGGUGACGGUCAGUGUGCUAUCUUUUGACCGCACAGCAAAAAAGUGGUUGCCGGGCUAGAAGCAAGAUGGAAAGAUGAAGAAAUGGGCAGAAAAGGCAUUUGGUGCCUUGAUGAAAAAUUUCAAAAAUAAAAGGGUCCCAUGGUGAAACUAGAGCAAUUCCCAGAAGACUAAAUGUGGGAGGAAUGGGACGAGGUAGGGGAAGUCAGCAGAGACUCUAAGUUGUUUAAGAGAGCGUAUUACUUAUCUAUUGCUGUGUAACAAAUGAACGCAAAACUAAGCAGCCCGAGACAACUUAAGAAACCCACGAUUUCCGUGUGCCUGGAGUCUGGGUUGGCUCAGCAGGAUGCCUUUAGCUCAGGGUCUCUCACAAGGCUGCACUCAAGGUGUCAGCGGGCACUGUGGUCAUCUCAAGGCUUGCCUGGGGGGGUGGCUCCGCCUCCACUUUGUCCCUUCCCAACCUCAUCUGUAGUCUGCCACAGGCCUCGGUGCCCCAGUAGCUGCUAAUCUUUUGCCAUGGGGCUACUCAUAGCACGUCAGCUUGCUUCCCUCAGAGCUGGGGGUAGGGAGAAGAGGAAAAGCAAGCAAGACAGAAGUCACCCAGAAGUGCAAAAAAGGAGUUGCCAUCCCAUUACUUUUGCCAUAUUUGAUUUGUUAGAAGUGAUCCAGUAGGUCCGACCCACCUGCAAGGGGAGAGGCUUACGCAAGAGCAUGAAAACCUGAGGACAGAGACCACCAGGACCAACAAAGGCUGUGGACCACAGAGACACUCUUUAUUCAUGGAAUAAACCUGGAGCCCGAUUCUCCCAAGGCGAGCCUCCUGAAAUGAUAGAAGCUACGGAGGGAGGCCACAUGCUAGGCCACAUGUCAGCAUUAUUACUGUUCAUCAUUCAUUCAGGGCCCACAAAAGCGAGAGCAUCUCCAUACGGGUGUGGAUUUUAAAAUCAGGAAAGCAGGCCAGAUAGAAUUCAUGCUUAGGCACAGCUGCUCAGAACUGACCACCCUAAGGGGCCCACUGUUAAUAACUCAUCCUUUCUGAUGAUCCGCCCACUGCCUGGUGUGGCUGCUGCCACUGUUCAGCUCUGUCCCCUGCCCUGAGAAACAUGUGCUGCCAGAGGUUCGUCCUCACAAUAAUAACCGCUAACACUGAGUGACAGCAUGUGAUGGUCAAGUACAGAGUCUGGCACUUUAUGUUCAUCACCGCGUUUCAUCCUCACCACGACCCUGUUCUGUGGAUCCGGCUGGACGCAUCCAGAGGUGGGAGUCCCUGUGGUCUGGGCACUGAUCAGUGCCUGAAUGUUCUCAGGGACACUCCCCUUCAUUAAAGCAGACAGUUAGACAUUAACAGGUCUCAUGACUCAAUAUAUAACUGAAUUGUUAUAUUAUGGGCACAUUGCACAACUGUUCACUUAGAAAAUCUAAAAGAAUCAGCUAAAAACUAUUAGAAAAACUUAGUGAAGUGUAUAAAAUGAAACACUACCGUGCCACUUUAGGACUCUGGCAAUAGCUAAAAAGUAAGUUUUGUGAUAACUCAUGUUCAUUGUAGAAAAUCUAGAAAAUAAAAAAAAAAAAAAGUAAGACUAAGGCAUUAAGUCACUCAUGACUUUACCAAAAGACAUUUUGGUAUAUUUUCUUUGAUGCAUUUUUCUAUGUUACAUGGGUGACUAUAUCAUUGUAUUUUAAAAAAUUGUUGUCAUACUACACUAGCUGAGCAUCUUGCUUUUUUCACUUAAUGUAACAUUGGGAGCAUUUUCCCAUGCUCAUGUUCUUCAAAAACCCAAGGUUAAAUGGUUACUGAAUAGCUCAUCAUAUUAUUACAACCUAAUUUUAAAAAACUAUUUCCUUUUACUCAUUUAGUCAAAAAAAUCAAAUUUUUUUCCUCUGUUCCCCAUUUCCUGUCUUUAAAAAAUUAUUUGAAUAUCCAUUUCAGUUCUUCUAUUGGCUUAACACAUAUUUAUUUACAUUUUUAAGUUGGCUGCAAGUUAGAAAUAUAAGUUUUCACAGUCUGCCUACAGUCAGUACUGUACAACCUCUAUAAUAAAGAACUCUUCUCACCAUCGAGGUCCGUAUCUACCCCUGGUCUUUACCUUACAGCUGUUACAUGUAUCUCAUCUAUAGAUGUUAUAAGCCUCGCAAGACAGUGUUAUAAUUUUUGCUUAAAAUUCUUAUAUGAUUAACAAUGAAAUUAAGAAGAAAAAAGCAGAAAGAAAACUAGUAUUUUGUGUUGAUCCAAAUAUUUACCAGUCCAGUAGUCUUUACUCUUUUCCAAGGACCUGAGUUCCCAACUGGUAUUAUUUCCCUUUAACUGAAAGAAGUUCCUGCAGCAUUUCUUACAGUGCAGGUCUGCUGGUGAUAAAUUCUUUUUUCUUUUAUCGAAAAAUGCCUUUAUUUCCCUUCAAUCUUAGAAGGAUAUUUCUACAAGAUAUAAAAUUCUGGGUUAGGGCAGGCGUGGUGGCUCACACCUGUAAUCCCAGCACUUUGGGAGGCUGAGGCAAGCGGAUCACUUGAGGGCAGGAGCUCAAGACUAGCUUGGACCACAUGGUGAGACCCUGUCUCUACUAAAAAGACAAAAAAUAGCUGGGUGUGGUGGUUCGCACCUGUAGUCCCAGCUACUCAGGAGGCUGAGGCAGGAGAACUGCUCAAACCCAGGAGGCAGAGAUUGCAGUGAGCCGACAUCAUGCCACUGCACUCCAACCUGGGCAACAGAGCGAGACCUCAACUUAAAAAAAAAAAAAUUCUGGGUUAGAAUUUUCUGAUUCUCUUUCAGUACCUUGAAAAUGUUAUUCCAUGCCGUUCUGGUCUGCAAGGUUUCCAGUGAGAAGUCAGCCAUUAACUGGAUUAUUACUGUAUGGCUUUUCUCUUGUUGCUUUCAAGAUUUGCUCUUCAACUUUGGUUUUCAAAAGUUUGCAAGAACCAGCGUGGGAUUUUUAAAUAUUUAUUCUUAUUGGUGUUUCUUGAGCAUAUGAUCUUAUAUCUGUAAAUUUCUACUUGUCACUGAAUUCUGAAAUUUUUUAGCUAUUAUUUCUUCUACUAUUUUUUUCUGCUCCAUUUUCUCUUUUUCCUCUGUCAUUUUCCCCCUCUCUGCCUUCAGCUGUUAAGUCCACUCAGUAAAUUUUUAUUUGAGAUAACUAUUUUCAGUUCUAGAAUUUCCAUUUGGUUCUUCUUUUUAUCAUUCUAUUUCUCUGCUGAGCUAUCUUAUCUUUUCAUUCAUAGUGAGCAUAUAUCAUGUUAUUUCAUUUAGGAUAGUUUUGUUUUGCUUUGCUUUGAGACAAGGUCUUACUCUGUCACCCAGGCUGGAGUGCAGUGGUGUGAUCAUGGCUCACUGCAGCCAUGACCUCCUGGGCCCAAGCAAUCCUCCCACCUGAGCCUCCCCAGUAGCUGGGACUACAAGGGCACACUACCAUGCCCAGCUAAUUUUUGUAUUUUUUGUAGACAUGGGGUUUCCCUGUGUUGCCCAGGCUGGUCUCAGACUCUGAGGUGGGCUCAAGCAAUAUGCCCACCCCAGCUUCCCAAAGUGUCGGGAUUACAGGCGUGAGCCGUGGCACCCAGCCAUUUAGUAUAGUUAUAACAGCCACUGGAAAACCUUGUGUGACUCUCCAUAUCUGCUUCCCCUUGGGGUUGAACUUCAUUUGAUUUCUCUUUUUCUUGAUUUGAGACAGUAUUCUAUUUCCUUGGUUCUUCAAAUGUUGGUUAUUUUAGCUUUGUAUCCCAGAUGUGAGGAAGGUUAAACUGUAGAGGUUUGGGAUUUUGCGAUUUUUCUUGGAUGACUGUUAGUUCUUUUGGUUGGCAAUUAGCUGAACCUGAACUGCAAACUCUGACCCUUUCGGCAGCAAGCACAGAUUUUUUUGUCAUUAUUGUGAUCUGAGUCUAUUCUAUGCAUGUAUGGUUCAGCGAUCAAAGAUGUAUAUAAACAGAAUUUGGGGAUCCCCUCUCCAGCCCUUUUCUUCUAGGAGUCCCUCUCACUGCACCACCUGCCCUUGGCCCUGAGCUUACUUGGUGCAGCUCAAGAGUGCAGCUCAAGACCCACCUUGUCCCAACGAGGUUCUCCCACCAUAAACUUGCCUGCUUCUGCUCACUCUCAAUGGCUUCAGGCAGCUGCUUUCUGAAUUAUACCCAGUUUUCAUAGUUAUUUUCUGUAUGUGGGGGUGGGAGGGAUGGAGGUGGGAGGAUCUGUCUGGUAAGAUCUUGAUCUGCCAUUCUCAGAAGAAGAAGUUCCCAGACCUUUGUAUCUAAAUACCAUUCCCCACUAAAAGGAACCAGAGUUCCUUCUAAAAAUGUAGAAAGUAAAAUAUAAAAACAGCUCAUUCCAGAGCUGGGUACAAGGUUACGCCUGGAAUACCUUAUUAUGCCAGAGAGUGAGGAAGUGAUCAAAGAUCCAAGAGGCCCUGUCAAAAGGAGAUGGGAGCCUACUUUUCAAACCAAAUCUGGGAUAAUUUGAGCAAAGAGAAUAAGGAUCAUAAUUAAUAAUAAAAUUCUGAAGAAAAGAGAGACUUAAUAGUCCACAGUGCUGAUUGAGAGGAAAAGGAAGAGAAGCAUAUUACUCAUUUAAUUGGCAGAUAAAACUGAAUGUAUUUGUCAUGUACAACACGUUUUGAAGUACCUACACAUUAUGAAAUUACUAAAUCUAGCUAAUUAACAUAUGUAUUACCUCACACUGUUACCAUUUGUUACAUUUUUAACUGAUGACGUAUCUCUCAUUUAUUGGACUGAUAACGUAUCUAUUCCUCAUUCACUGGAUUCUACCCAGAAACAGCACACUUUCACCCUUUCAUGGUACAGCUGCCAUGCUCUUCACAAUGUUAUUAUUCUAGACUAUUACAGUACAAGCUAGCAGUGACCUAUUUAUCUUUUAGGAUCAUGAACAAUAUAUAUCACUUCAUUUCUAGAAACUGAUCUUCAAAAACUAUAACCUACUGCAGGACAGGUGAGGCCAGGGAGGCGGACACCUCUGCCUCCAGGAGGCUACUCUGUGCCUCAAGAACCAAAGAACGAGGGGAGUUCGACCACUGCCUGUACAGAGCCCGAAUGCCCUCCCUGCUGCUGUUCUAAUGCAUGUCCCAUCUGCAAUGUUAGAAAACAAGCUUCAGCUUGAUACAGUGGAACUUGGCAGAUGGCACAGUUUGCUUGUUACAGAACUAAGUAUGAAAAUAAAUUCAUUUAGUAGUGCUCCUUGGAGAAAUGUGGUUCAGAAGUCAAAUAAUUUUAAAAGACCUCUUUCCCAUGUAAGACACCCAUGAAACAAUGCUCUGGUCAUAAUUAGUCUCUAACCUUUCAAAAUGCCUGCUUCAGUGACCUCACCUGCUAUUGAACACGAUGCCUGCAGAUGGUGUGAGGUGGCCAAAGGGUGGAGGACUGGCAGCGGGGGCUGCAGCGGCUGCUGUGACCAGCCACUCACUUGCUGAAGGAUCAGGGAGAGACACUGUGUCUCUCUGGGUCUCGGCUUCUUAACCUGUGAAACCCAGGGGUUGGGGAAAAGCUCGCCAAGCCCCCCUCCUGCUUUGGCAUCCUGUGAGUCUUUAUUGUCCUGGGCUAGCUGGGACCCCUAGGACACUGGGUGGCUCCUUCCACCCCACAUGAUCAUUCUGCUCAACAAGAACUUGCAGGAGCCACAGACCUGCCUCACAAACAUGAGGAAGCGCAUCCUUCUACAAAGCGAGAGGCUUGAGGUCAGUAUGCCAAUAGCAAGAAGACUUGUUCUUGAAAGGUUGAGUUUUUCAAAUGAGUCCUGAAAGAAUUCUACCACACUGCCUAUUUCCCAAGCAGGGAUCAUGGGAGAAAGGAAAUUUUGAAGAAAAUGGUUCUAAUGCCAUUUUGUUAAAAGUACUGAGAGAUUUACAAUGAUCAAGUAAUAUGCCAGUUCUUUCAAAGGAUGCCAACAUCUGAUGCCAACAUAAUUACAAGUUGGAAAAAUGUGUAAUGAAUCAGGCGGCUCAUAAUUUCCCUUAGAAUAUGUAUGCACAACUUAUUAAAUGACAUAAAAAGCAAAGAGUCACGG